Molecule: ribosomal RNA, 985 nt
Filed under: uncultured Bacteroidota bacterium
Lineage: Bacteria; Pseudomonadati; Bacteroidota
Description: bacterial SSU rRNA
Rfam family: Bacterial small subunit ribosomal RNA
Source: RNAcentral
CAGCAGCCGCGGUAAUACGGAGGGUCCGAGCGUUAUCCGGAAUUAUUGGGUUUAAAGGGUCCGCAGGCGGGCUUAUAAGUCAGGGGUGAAAUGGUGCGGCUCAACCGUAGCACUGCCCUUGAUACUGUUAGUCUUGAGUUAUGGUGGAGUGGCCGGAAUAUGUAGUGUAGCGGUGAAAUGCAUAGAUAUUACAUAGAACACCGAUCGCGAAGGCAGGUCACUAACCAUUAACUGACGCUGAUGGACGAAAGCGUGGGGAGCGAACAGGAUUAGAUACCCUGGUAGUCCACGCCGUAAACGAUGGAUACUAGCUGUCCGCUGCCUUGAGCAGUGGGCGGCCAAGCGAAAGUGAUAAGUAUCCCACCUGGGGAGUACGUUCGCAAGAAUGAAACUCAAAGGAAUUGACGGGGGCCCGCACAAGCGGUGGAGCAUGUGGUUUAAUUCGAUGAUACGCGAGGAACCUUACCAGGGCUUAAAUGCAGAAUGACAGGUUUAGAGAUAGACUUUUCUUCGGACAUUUUGCAAGGUGCUGCAUGGUUGUCGUCAGCUCGUGCCGUGAGGUGUCAGGUUAAGUCCUAUAACGAGCGCAACCCCUACCGUUAGUUGCCAGCAUUUAAAGAUGGGGACUCUAACGGGACUGCCGGUGCAAACCGAGAGGAAGGUGGGGAUGACGUCAAAUCAUCACGGCCCUUACGUCCUGGGCUACACACGUGCUACAAUGGCCGGUACAGAGAGCAGCCACUCCGCAAGGGGGCGCGAAUCCUACAAAACCGGUCACAGUUCGGAUCGGGGUCUGCAACUCGACCCCGUGAAGCUGGAAUCGCUAGUAAUCGGAUAUCAGCCAUGAUCCGGUGAAUACGUUCCCGGGCCUUGUACACACCGCCCGUCAAGCCAUGGAAGCCGGGAGUGCCUGAAGUCCGUCACCGUAAGGAGCGGCCUAGGGCAAAAUCGGUAACUAGGGCUAAGUCGUAACAAGGUAGCCGUA